CCUACGGGAGGCAGCAGUGGGGAAUAUUGCACAAUGGGGGAAACCCUGAUGCAGCGACGCCGCGUGAGUGAAGAAGUAUUUCGGUAUGUAAAGCUCUAUCAGCAGGGACGAAAAUGACGGUACCUGAUUAAGAAGCCCCGGCUAACUACGUGCCAGCAGCCGCGGUAAUACUGAGGGGGCAAGCGUUAGCCUGAUUUACUGUGUGUAAGGGGAGCGUAGACGGCAGCACAAGUCUGGAGUGAAAUGCCGGGGCUUAACCCCGGAACUGCUUUGGAAACUGUGCAGCUAGAGUGCAGGAGAGGUAAGUGGAAUUCCUAGUGUAGCGGUGAAAUGCGGAGAUAUUAGGAGGAACACCAGUGGCGAAGGCGGCUUACUGGACUGUAACUGACGUUGAGGCUCGAAAGCGUGGGGAGCAAACAGGAUUAGAUACCCCUGUAGUC
RNAcentral lists this ribosomal RNA (440 nucleotides) under uncultured bacterium. Its description in RNAcentral is "partial 16S ribosomal RNA". It matches the Rfam family "Bacterial small subunit ribosomal RNA", at positions 338 to 795 of the family's 1533-position model. The record is from RNAcentral.